CCGACCUCUCCUUCAUGGCUCAUGUUCAAUCUAUCGCCAAAUCCUGUCAUUUCCAUCUCAAAAACAUUGUGCGCAUCCGCCCCUACUUAACGCCAGAUGUGACUACGGUGUUGGUCCAUUCCACUGUCCUUUCUCGCCGUGACUACUGUAAUCUGCUUCUCAGUGGUCUUACGUGCUCCCAACCUGCGCCGUUACAGUCCAU
Molecule: non-coding RNA, 202 nt
Organism: Pelobates cultripes (western spadefoot toad)
Lineage: Eukaryota; Metazoa; Chordata; Amphibia; Anura; Pelobatidae
Source: the annotation of a GenBank genome assembly